GUAGUCGUGGCCGAGUGGUUAAGGCGAUGNCCGCGCAGGUUCGAAUCCUGCCGACUACG
RNAcentral lists this transfer RNA (59 nucleotides) under Ophiophagus hannah (king cobra). It matches the Rfam family "tRNA". Rfam says of the family: Transfer RNA (tRNA) molecules are approximately 80 nucleotides in length. Their secondary structure includes four short double-helical elements and three loops (D, anti-codon, and T loops). Lineage: Eukaryota; Metazoa; Chordata; Lepidosauria; Squamata; Elapidae. The record is from Rfam by way of RNAcentral.